CCUACGGGAGGCAGCAGUGGGGAAUAUUGCACAAUGGGGGAAACCCUGAUGCAGCGACGCCGCGUGAGUGAAGAAGUAUUUCGGUACGUAAAGCUCUAUCAGCAGGGAAGAAAAUGACGGUACCUGACUAAGAAGCCCCGGCCAACUACGUGCCAGCCGCCGCGGUAAUACGUAGGGGGCAAGCGUUAUCCGGAUUUACUGGGUGUAAAGGGAGCGUAGACGGCAGCGCAAGUCUGGAGUGAAAUCCCAUGGCUUAACCAUGGAACUGCUUUGGAAACUGUGCAGCUAGAGUGCAGGAGAGGUAAGCGGAAGUCCUAGUGUAGCGGUGAAAUGCGUAGAUAUUAGGAGGAACACCAGUGGCGAAGGCGGCUUACUGGACUGUAACUGACGUUGAGGCUCGAAAGCGUGGGGAGCAAACAGGAUUAGAUACCCUUGUAGUC
This 440-nucleotide ribosomal RNA is filed under the name uncultured bacterium. RNAcentral's name for it is "partial 16S ribosomal RNA". It matches the Rfam family "Bacterial small subunit ribosomal RNA", at positions 338 to 795 of the family's 1533-position model. The record is from RNAcentral.